RNAcentral lists this ribosomal RNA (215 nucleotides) under Campeiostachys nutans. RNAcentral describes it as "Elymus nutans partial small subunit ribosomal RNA". The stretch from base 37 to 215 matches the Rfam family "Eukaryotic small subunit ribosomal RNA", at positions 684 to 864 of the family's 1831-position model. Lineage: Eukaryota; Viridiplantae; Streptophyta; Magnoliopsida; Poales; Poaceae. The record is from RNAcentral.
GGAUCAAAUUGUUGGUCGUGCCUCGGUACGCACUGGUAUUAUUAGUUCCUACCUUCUGAAGAACCGCGAUGUCAUUAAUUUGGUGUUGCGGGGAAUUUGGACUGUUACUUUGAAAAAAUUAGAGUGUUUAAAGCAAGCUAACGCUUGAAUACAUUAGCAUGGAAUAAUGAAAUAGGACGUUCGAUCCUAUUUUGUUGGUUUCUAGAGUCGCCGUA